Molecule: long non-coding RNA, 1477 nt
Organism: Ziziphus jujuba (common jujube)
Lineage: Eukaryota; Viridiplantae; Streptophyta; Magnoliopsida; Rosales; Rhamnaceae
Exons: 5
Source: RefSeq, a predicted model, not a curated record
AAGAAAUCCUUCACUCUUAGCUUUUCUAGUCAAUUAAAAUAGCAAUAAUAAUAAAAGAAAAACUUGGGUACUAUUAUGUGUAUUGCAAACACAACUUUGAUCAGUAGUCUGAUGAACUUUUGCUGUUUUGUUUGUGUUGUUCAAUUUCGUUCCAGGUCAUGUAGAAACCGUUAUGGUCGGAGUACAUUAUUUUAUGUACAUCAUUUUAAACAAUCAAUAUGAAUGCUCUAAUUCCAUGCUUUCCCUCCUGAUUUUAGAAGCAGUUUUCAAAGUUAUUUUGCAAUUUCUAGGAAUUUUUGGACCGUAUAAUGAUUUUCAGAAUCAGUAGAUUAAAUUAUCUCAUUCUCUCUAGGAUUCUGAGCGCAGGAUCUGUUUUUCUGGUGGUUCCCUCAAAAUUCAAAUUUCUUCUCCUCCAAUGGUCCUUAAAUCUGAAAAUUUUCCUCCCUCAAACGCCUACAUGUCUCUCUCUUCUCCCUAUAUAUAUUGUCUCCUUCAAAAUUGUUUUUGUACCGGUUACUUCCUCUAAUUCUCUCGUCGUCUCUGAAAUUGAAUGGUAGCCUAGCCCUGUCUUCACUAUGCUCUGUAAUUUUGUUUUGUGUUUUGGUGUUAAGAAAAAUUUGUUCAGUAAGGAACUUUUUCAACUCACCCAAUCGCCUAGCUUGUUGUGGAUGUGAGGCUGUUAACGAUCCGGAUACCAUGGAGAAGCUCAGCUUGCGCUUCGAUACGAUCUUUGAUUAAGGGUAUAUCUGAAUUUUGCAGACCCAAGCUACAGAAAAAUCAGAGGGUCCAAAGAUUUCAAUCAUCUUCUUUUCUCAAGGCAACUGCAACCACUUUCCAGCAUAUGAAGAUCCAUUCAUGAAGAAGUAUCUUCCCAUACAUCCAUCUACACAUGUUCUGUAGAUGGAGUUCUGUGGUAGAUGAACGAGCAAUCAACAACACUAAAGGGUUCCUUAAUCAAUGGCUGAGAAAUGAGAACCAUACACUUUUCCUUAAUUCUGCAAAAGCUAUUGGUUGUACAGUGGUUAAUAUUGGCACGCAGGACUUGGUUGAGGCAAGACUUCUGGCUAUCCGACACAACUUUUGGAUGAUCUCCAUCUGAACCGUACUCUGCAACUUGUGAAACUGGUGGAUGACAGCAAGGAUGAAGCAAACUUUAAAGGAGGGCUCUGAGUUUGGCUAAUGCUUGUGCUGCAAUCUGUACAACUCAUAUCUAACCAACUUUAAUUGUUCAAGAACUCAUGUCCAAGUCCUAAACCAAAUGGAAUCUCUUUGUUGUCCUUUCUUCUGUUAUGUUUAUUGAAACAUAACGUAUAAUCAACUGUAAUUAGUAGGAUAAUUGUAAAUAAUCAAAGAUGAAGACUUUUUGGGUUUGGGAGGAAGAGACUGCUGGGAUAUCCAGGUCUCUUCUCUCUCUACUGUGGGUGUGGUGUGGUGUGUACCCCCCCUCUCUCUUUCACUUGCUUUCUUUUCGGGCUCU